Molecule: ribosomal RNA, 253 nt
Filed under: uncultured bacterium
Lineage: Bacteria
Description: partial 16S ribosomal RNA
Rfam family: Bacterial small subunit ribosomal RNA
Source: RNAcentral
UACGAAGGGGGCUAGCGUUGCUCGGAAUCACUGGGCUUAAAGGGCGCGUAGGCGGGCUGUCAAGUCUGGGGUGAAAUCCCACGGCUCAACCGUGGAACUGCCUUAGAUACUGACGGCCUCGAGGGAGAUAGGGGCGAGCGGAACUGUGAGUGGAGCGGUGAAAUGCGUUGAUAUUCACAGGAACUCCGGUGGCGAAGGCGGCUCGCUGGAUCUUUUCUGACGCUGAGGCGCGAAAGCUAGGGGGGCAAACGGG